AAUAUCCACUAGGGGAGCCAAUAGGCUGAGACGGCGCUUUACGCGACGGACCCUUUGAACCUGAUCUGGGUGAUACCAGCGGAGGAAAGUGGCGCAUUGAGUUU
Bacillus sp. LL01 is the source of this 104-nucleotide non-coding RNA. Lineage: Bacteria; Bacillati; Bacillota; Bacilli; Caryophanales; Bacillaceae. The record is from Rfam.